Molecule: ribosomal RNA, 253 nt
Filed under: uncultured Comamonadaceae bacterium
Lineage: Bacteria; Pseudomonadati; Pseudomonadota; Betaproteobacteria; Burkholderiales; Comamonadaceae
Description: partial 16S ribosomal RNA
Rfam family: Bacterial small subunit ribosomal RNA
Source: RNAcentral
UACGUAGGGUGCAAGCGUUAAUCGGAAUUACUGGGCGUAAAGCGUGCGCAGGCGGUUUUGUAAGACAGUGGUGAAAUCCCCGGGCUCAACCUGGGAACUGCCAGUGUGACUGCAAGGCUAGAGUACGGCAGAGGGGGAUGGAAUUCCGCGUGUAGCAGUGAAAUGCGUAGAUAUGCGGAGGAAUACCGAUGGCGAAGGCAAUCCCCUGGGCCUGCACUGACGCUCAUGCACGAAAGCGUGGGGAGCAAACAGG